ACUUCAGGAAACUGGGGCUAAUACCGGAUAGGAGCUCCUGCUGCAUGGUGGGGGUUGGAAAGUUUCGGCGGUUGGGGAUGGACUCGCGGCUUAUCAGCUUGUUGGUGGAGUAGUGGCUUACCAAGGCUUUGACGGGUAGCCGGCCUGAGAGGGUGACCGGCCACAUUGGGACUGAGAUACGGCCCAG
RNAcentral lists this ribosomal RNA (187 nucleotides) under uncultured Actinomycetales bacterium. RNAcentral describes it as "partial 16S ribosomal RNA". It matches the Rfam family "Bacterial small subunit ribosomal RNA", at positions 146 to 334 of the family's 1533-position model. Lineage: Bacteria; Bacillati; Actinomycetota; Actinomycetes; Actinomycetales. The record is from RNAcentral.